This 19243-nucleotide long non-coding RNA is filed under the name Lynx pardinus (Iberian lynx). The record is from RNAcentral. Lineage: Eukaryota; Metazoa; Chordata; Mammalia; Carnivora; Felidae.
GGAAAUUUUUAAGUAUCUUCUGUGAACGUGGAGCAAUGCAGACAUGUUGGCCAAGCUGAUCAUUUUCGUGGUGGAUUUCACACUUGUUUUGGCCAUUUUUGCUAUCCUCUAUGCUGUUUACUUAAUAGCAACUGCAGGUAUUUUCAUCCUGGCCGUUUUCUAUAUUGUCAAAAGGAUGAACAAAAAUUGUGACUCCAGCAAGGACAUCUGGGUGCUGGAUUCCAGCACUGCUACCAGGAAACCAUUUGCCAGCAACAUAGGGGGAGUCAGGUCCAGGAUGCUCCCUGUCCAUCUUCCAGCAGCAAGAGGAGAGGCUUUCUUGCCCGAGAAGUGUGGUUCUGUCUUCUAGAAAGCAAGGAGCUAUCUGUGGUGGAGGAGGCACAUAGGAAGACCUGCCCACUCAACCAAGAGGUAUCUUUUUUUAAAUAAUUUUUUAAUGUUUGUUUAUUUUUGAGAGAGAGAGAGAGACAGGAGAGAGACAGAUUGUGAGCUGGAGAGAGGCAGAGAGAGAGGGAGACAGAAUCGGAUGCAGACUCCAGGUCCUGAGCUGUCAGCAGAGAGCCCGAUGCAGGGCUUGAACUCAUAAACCGAAAGAUCAUGACCUGAGUUGAAGUCAAAUGCUUAACAGACUCAGCCACCCAGGCUCCCCCAAGAGGUAUCUUUUUAAAUACAUCCUGUCCCCCAAAUUAUAUAAGCUGCUGGUUCCAUUAAUUCUGGGUUCACCACCACUGAAUGAUACAUUUUAUUAAAUAAAAGAAACAUGGUGGCUCAGUGGGUUAAGCAUCUGACUUCAGCUCAGGUCAUGAUCUCAUGGUUAAUGAAUUCGAGUUCCACUUCGGUGAGCCCCACUUCUGGGGAGCAUGAGCCCCACUUGGGGUAAAACAUGAGCCCUGCUUUUCAGGUGAGCUCUCUCUCUCUCUAUCUCUACCCCUCAUGGGAUUAUCUCUCUCUCCCUCUCUCUGUCCCUCACUCACUUGUGCCCUCUUUCUGAAAAGAAAAGAAAAGAAAAGAAAAGAAAAGAAAAGAAAAGAAAAGAAAAGAAAAGAAAAGAAAAGUGAAACUUGCGGGGGCUCCCGAGUGGCUCAGUUGGUUGAAUGACUAACUCUUCAUCUCAACUCAGGUCAUGAUCUCACAGUUUGAGAUCAAGCCCCGUGUGGGGCUCUGCACUGACAGUGUGGAGUCUGCUUGGGAUUCUCUCUCUCCCUCUCUCUCUCUCUCUGCCCCUUCCCUGCUCAUGCUCCCUCCUCUCUCUUUCAGAAUAAAUAAAUGCAAAAAAAAAAAGAAACUUAUGUAUCACAUUAUAUCUUAUUCCUUAAUGAAUUUGGAUCAACCAGUAUAUUUUCUUCUGCAUGAGGUUAUUUUUAAGAUGAGCAUGUGCAACAUUCAUUUUAAUUAUCCCUUCCGUGAAUGAGCUCAUACAAGCAACAUGCAUGUUCAGGGUGCAAAACAGAAAGCAAAUGCUUCUCAUCACUGCCCCCAUUUUCAAAAAUGGAGUUGGCAGCCUCCAUAAGGACUAUAAACCAUUUUUGUUUUCAACUGCAAGUCUAAUUUACCCAGUAAAUCAGGGAAUCCUACCUGUGCUAUUUUCUCUCCCAAGCAUUGGUUAGCCACAGGUCACAAGUAGUUGAAACUUUUGUUUUUGUUCUUCAGUUCUUGGUAGAAAAGGGAGUUGGAGAAAAUGGCUGUUCUUUCUAUCUAUGGGUUCUUUCCUUGACUCCAAGUGGUUGCCCUCAAGUGGACAAUGCAUUUUCAAAAUGGUCCUUGGAGCAAAAGCAGUAUUUGAAACAUGUGAGAUGACAUACAGGAGGCUUCCUCUCUUUUAGGUUGGUGUUCUGGAACACCAGCGAUUUUAAGGGGAAAAAUUCAUGCUGGUAUAAGAAUAAUGCUCCAAACCCUGAAACUGGACUCCUUUGGAAUUACUGGGUGGCUUAUUCUGUUUCACCGCUUUGGUCCAGUGGAAAGAGGGGGAUCCGUUUUGUCAUGGUUUUUGUCAGAUAAAUGGCCAACAGAGAGUCUGUUUGGGUGUUUAUGGUAUAAAUCCAGAUAAUCCAUGGCAUAACUGUAUUUUCUCAGGAGCAAUAUACAGCUAGUUUGCAGAAGACUGUGGUAAAUUGACACAAUGUUAGCCAUUGUGAUUACAGCUUCUUAACCAAGCCCUUGUCCUCAUAUUUCAUCUCCAUUGCCUUGUGGACUUUUGGCAUCUAAUUCUAUUUCUUCCUGACAAGCUGAAAAAAAUCACUUUAGUCUCUAUGUAAGAUAAAUGAACUCCUUACCAAAAAAAGUAGAAUUUUACUCAAUAAGGAAAAAUAAUGAGCUUAGUCCCAUGAACAACAAAUACUUAAACUUUUAGUGGAUCUUAAGCAUUCUUGCCACACACACACACAAAACAGAAGGAAAAUAUGUGAGGUGAUGUGUUAACCAGCUCGAGUGUGGUGAUUACUCCAAGAUGUGUACAUAUACCAAAAUAUCAAGUUAUGUAUCUUAAAUAUAGACUAUAUAUUUAAUAUUGUAGGUUAUUAUAUUAUAAAUAUAUGCCAUAUAUAAAACAUCAAGCUGUACACAUUAAAUAUAUACAAUUCCUUAUCAAUAAAGUGAAAAAAAGGAAUAGGAAAAAAAUUACAAAUAAAUGCAGCGAGAAAGAAAAAAAUAUACUUUUAGAAAACAACGAAUUAACUUUAGUUUAAUAAUGUUACCCAUGUUUCAGUCAUGGUGUUGGUUCAAGAGUAUAGUAACUGCUCCACUGAAGAAACUGAUAAAUUUUGUUGAAUGAGUUAAGGGAUUUAAAAAUAAUCCUCCAUUACAUAGUUCCCAGUUUUACAACAAAGUGCAGUGUGGGUAACCUAGCUGGUGGGAUGUGGGGUAUCCAACCAGACCACACUUUAAACUAUUGCCCCUGACUGCUGACCACCUGCAUUCCAUUUAUAAUCACAGAGGCGUUAUUUUGUGAAAUAGUUUUUCAAUUCUAAGAAAACUCAACCAUCAUGAAAUAUCACAAAAGAGGUACACAGAGUAUGCACGUAUUUGUCUUCAAGUCUUAGUUCAGUCAGCAACUUCUCUAGAAGGCACAGAAGGAUGAGAACAUGGUUAGGUCAACUUUGAUUCAGAAGAUGCAGAAGAACAGGUCCUGAAUACGAGGCAUUGCCUGAAGUCAGGGAUCCUAGACAAGAACUGAGGGGCAGGGAUGAGGGAGAGGAGCAUGAAGAAGGGGGGGAAAGACCAUGAUAUGUGAACAUGGGGUGUGAUUAAACUGAAGGACACCAAGGCGAGCAUAAAACGUUGCCUUGUAUAGCUUUUGGAUACCUCAAGAAACUUCUACACUCAACUGUGCUAGCAUUCAGGGGUAAUGAGCCACAGAUGUACCCCAGCAAGGAUUUCUUACAUGGUCUUUGCCAUUUUUACCAGAGUUCUCUCAUUUUCUGUGUGUUCCUGAUGUAAAGGAUUAGGUCAAUGAUAAUGAUCUGAUAAGAAAAGAAACCAAAAGUGCUUUACAUUUUGAAGAUCUUGAAUAUCUUGAGCCUCCACUGCACACCUGUCUUACAGGUGCUUUCAGAGAAUUGCUGGCCCUGCAGGGUGUUGGGUUUGCAUGCCUUUCCAGAUUUGUGCAGCUCCCUUGAGGUGCUUUUUGCAUCCAGUGCUGUGACUAUCCAUUAGCCUCUAUGUGGGUUCCAGAAAAUUAGCUUUAGUUUAGCUGAAUUCUAAAUGCUAUUAAGUGAGAAUUCAUUCCUAAGACCUAUUAUUUACCAACGAUUCAACUAGGGCUCCUUUUAGCUUUAUUUUAUAGACUGUAGCAGCUCAGUCUUAAAAUUCAAAAGGACCUUGAAAGUCUUUGGAUACACUUCUCAGCCAAUUAAGAAAUACAUUCUACAAAAUCCCUGGAAGAUGGUUGUUCAGGUCUGCUUAAACAUUUUUCAUGAGAAGCAUAAGACAGCCUGUUGUUAAGAAGUGCUUUAUAUGGGGCGCCUGGGUGGCGCAGUCGGUUAAGCGUCCGACUUCAGCCAGGUCACGAUCUCGCGGUCCGUGAGUUCGAGCCCCGCAUCAGGCUCUGGGCUGAUGGCUCAGAGCCUGGAGCCUGUUUCCGAUUCUGUGUCUCCCUCUCUCUCUGCCCCUCCCCCGUUCAUGCUCUGUCUCUCUCUGUCCCAAAAAUAAAGAAACGUUGAAAAAAAAAAAAAAAAAAGAAGUGCUUUAUAACAUCCAGUAGAAAUCUGAGCCCCCACAACUGCCAUCUCUUUGUCCUAUUUUUGCUCAAUAAGCAGUCUAGAAAAUAGUUGACUAAGUACAAUGACUUCACUGGAACCACAAAUCCUAAGAAGAAAAAGGAGCUUCCCUCCUUAUUUUCUACUUGCUACUCAAACCAUGGAACAAUGUUGCCCUUUGCAGUGCAAAUAGCCCCAUUUAAAACCAUAACUUGUAAAAUAAAUCUAGGAUGUAUUGUGUACUUUAAUAGAGGAGUCUUAAUUUGUCUUUUCUGACUUCUUGUACAUAUUUGUUAAUCAAGAAUUUUGAAAUUCAUUUCUUCGAAGCUUCCUGAAGUCUGGGAGAGUUGCCAAUUUGCACUGCAGAGCAGCAUUUUAUUAGUGCAUUCAUAACUAUUCAAAUGUAAUUCUAAUGCAUUGACCCAAUUUCACAGCACAUCAAAAAUUUAAUUCAACCCCAGAUGACUCUCCAGAUGUCCAAUAAUCUUCCAGUGGAUGUUGUUGUUUAGAAGGUCAGAUGAAUUUGAACGUUUAGGAAAAACUGGAAAAUUUGUCAAUACAAGUUAUUUGUAUAUGAAUUCAGAAACAGCCACACUUCAAGUAUGCUAAUCACUACAGAAUGAAGCCCCCUUUAUCAAAGGUAGCUGAAAGUGGAGAAUUGGGACAGGGUCCAGUCAUCCCAUUUCUGGUGAUACUGGGACCAGCUAAAACCUAUCUAGGGCUGGGAAAGGGAAGUCCCCAUGGCCAGGAUCCCUAUGGUUUUGUUGCUAGGCUGGGGGCAGUUAGAAUGCUAGAAGCCAAAGAUUUUCUGGCUUUGUGGAUGGCUGAGGGAAAGCAAGCUUUCACAACCCGCAAGAGUGCUCAAGUUUUGCAAUGCAUUCCUGGAAUGCAUCAACUCUUUUUUGUUUCUGCUUUUGGUGACAUUGCUAACAUUAUAUAAGUUUUCGAAUCUGGGAUUCCAAUUAGGAUCUUGACCACACUCGUUAUUGGCAAUUUGUAUCAAGUCGCUGCCCCUCUAGGCCUCUGUUCCCCUAUCUGAAAAGAAGGAAAUGUGAACCCAAUGACUUGGAAGGCUCUUUCAGGUCUAAAAUACUGUAAACUCUAGAGAAUAACAUGAGUUAUAAAUAUGAAAUGUGGUCAACCAAGAUGGCAACUUACAUAGAGGAUCUCUCAGCAUCUCUCAAAAUGCCUUUCUAAUAUCUGGGGGAUUCAUGAGAUGUGAGAGCUCCCAAGGGACAAGGUGACAAUUUUCAAGAGCAUUUAUAGAACUGAGGGAAAAACUCUUGGAAUAAGUUUUCUUAGAGACCCAAAAUGUAUCCUGAUGUUCCUAUUGCACCACUUGCUUGUAAGUAAAGGGUGACAUCAAAUGCACAUCUGCAUCCCACAGACAUCAAUUAUCCCACUAGUUCCGACAGGCUGUCCAGACUUCUAAACCUGUGCAUUCUUGUUGUUACCUCUAAGCAAGGCAUCUCUUUUGUGUUCUAUAUUGAUCAUGUACAUUACUUUUCCUUCAGGAUCUCAAUUUGUUCAUUCACAAAAUAAAUACAUGGUAUAAAUAAUACUAAUCGCUACUCCUGGGCUAAUAUUAUUAUUUUAAGGGUUUAUUGAAUAGAUGCUUAUUGGUACUCACUGUACUAGACAGUUUGGCAAAACAAAGACAUAGAAUACAUAACCUUUGACUUCAAAUGGGUUCCUAUUAUGUUUCAAUUUGAGGGAAUCUAUGAACUUGACAUGAAUUAGAAAACUCAUGCAAUCAACUACUUAAAAAAUUUUUAAUACUUUUUUAAAAGUUAAAGUUUCAAUAAAAGCUCCAAGUUCGCCAAUUUUAAUUUCUUCACUUUUAGUAGCCUGUGUUUUGAAUAAGCAAAGUAAUGCAGGUUAUCCAGUUGAUUUGCAUUGUAAAUCAUCUUUGUGCCUUAGAAGACAGGCUUUGCUAAAAGUAAAUGGAUUGAUUAGCAACAAUUUCUUGAAUAUGGUGCCAAAAGCACAGACAAAAAAUUAAACAUAGACAAACUGGAGUACAUAAAAAUUUAGAAACUUCUGUGCAUCAAAGAACACAAACAACAAAUUGAAAAAGCAACCCAAGAGAUGGGAGAAGAUAUUUGCAAAUUAUGUACCUGAUAAAAGGUUAAUACCCAAAAUAUAUAAAGAACUUUUACAACUCAACACCACCAGCAAAACAACCUAAUGAUAAAACGAACAAAGGACUUGAGUAGACAUUUCUCUAGAGAAGAUAUACAUAUGGUCAAUAAGCACAUGAAAAGAUGCUCAAUCUCACUAAUUAUUAGGCAAAUGCAUAUCAAAGCUACAGUGAGAUACCACCUCACACUCAUUGGAAUCGCUACUAUUAAAAACCAGAAAAUAACAAGUGUUAGUAGAGGUGUGGAGAAAUCAGACCCCUUGUACACUGUGGAUGGGAAUGUAAAAUGGUGUGGCCACUAUAGAAAACAGCAUGAUAGUUCCUCACAAAAGCAAAAAUCGAAUUACUGUAUGAUCCAGCAAUUCAACUUCUGGGUAUUAUACCCCCCAAAAUUGAAAGCAGGGCCUCAGAGAGAUAUCCAUACACCCAUGCUCCUGUCACUAAUGAACAUGAGGUCUGCCCCAUUGAUUGACUAGCUCCUCAUGAUGAAUUCAGUGCUGGUAGUCCCCACCAUGGAAAUUCUACAAAUAAGUACUGUACAUUCUUAGGUAAAUUGAAAAUGAUUCAUAGCAGGUUUCAGCAGCAUUUAUUAGAUUUGCUUUCAGUCUUAAACGAGAUAAGUCAAUAAUUCACUUGGUGCUCAGAUGUAGUUAAUUGUUAGGAAGGCUAUUCAAAUACUUUAGAGAAAAUAUAAUUAACUCAAUUAACUUAAUUAACUGAAGGCCUCAUUUGAAGGCUCCUAUCGAUAAAGACCAAGAGGGGACAACAGAGAACAAUUGCAGGAUAUUUACUCUGUGAUUGUUCUUAUUCAAGACACUCAAAUGAGGUGACAAUCGUAUUUCCAGAGGUUCAGGUUCAUGAUUUCCUUUGGGAAUUAAGCCAUCUGCUGCAAAUGUCCACCUCUGAGUUAUCCACAUAGCAGUCCAGCCCAUUCCUCAUAUUGCCUCAUGUAUGCUAAGAGUCUUGGCACCAAACUGAAAUCAUGUUUUUCCUCUUCUGGGUGAGGAGCUAUAGGAAUAAACGCCAUUUGAAGUCUUUGUUUACACAUUGCUGCCAGAGUAAUCUUGGUAAAGGAUAAUGUGGGUACUUCUUUUUAUGCUUGAAGACUUGAUAUAGCACCUACUCACCUGAACGAGAGUAAUGUGAAUAUCAUACUCUAGUAAUCGUAGCCUUCUAACCACUCAGCACCAAUUAUUCCACUGCAGGUUGGCUGAGACUCAGCUGAUGUGGGCUGUACAUGGCUGGGCUGGGCUGUAAGCUGUUACAGGUUGGGUCCAUAUCUGGUCCACAGGUCCCUCAUUCUCCUUGGACUGGAUGCUACUUGAAGCAUGAUCAUCUCAAGAAGGACAGAGGGACACUUGUGGACACUAAGGAGUAGGCUGGAGUUGGCACACUGUCACUUUGAAUCAUAUUCCUUUGGCCUAAGAAUGUCACAUGACAUCAGUGGGACAAGGAGGUACCCUCCUUCUUCCAUGGGGGUCAUGAGAGGGAGGAGUAUUUGCUGAAUAAUUGAAUAGACCCAUGAGAAUAACAUUUUUAUAAUCAAUAGCAUUAUCAAUAUUAUUAAUUGGUCCUUAUUUGCUAUGAAACAAAAUGCAGAUUUAACAUUACCAAAGCGAAGUUUAAUAUAGGAGUUGAAAUCCAUGUGCUUUACUUUUUGAGAUUUUCCAUGAUUCCAAUUAGAAAUAAAUUGGGUCUAUUUGCUAGAAAGAAGUGCUUAGAAGCUGAGUCUGCUCCUUCUGUGGCAGUUUCUCAAGGCUGGAAAUUAUUGCAUUGUGUGUGCUCUGAACUCCUUCCUCAGCCUCCAUCACCACUGCUGAUGGCUCAGCUCCCCCGCAAGGGUACAUAGAUUGGAUCAAAGGUCAGUGCUGUCUUGGUAGAACAGGGGCUUUGGGGCAGGCAACAUCCUAGGUCUACCAUAGAAUGGCUCUGAACUUGGGCACGUCAUGUAAACUCACAAGUCUACAGUUUAUUUAGUAAAAUUUGCCCAAACUGACAAAUAGGUUGCUGUAUUGAUUGAAUGAGACAAAAUAUGGAAAUAUAUUUCAAAAUAUUAACCAGAAAAUACAGAGACUACAAUCUCUGUGGGUUUUAGUUCUCUUCCACUGUGUUUAUUUACUUAAUUUCUCUUAAUAGUCAAGAGUCACUGAGAGCAGAACAAAAUUUUUCUCCUAUGGAUCAAUAGUUAAAUAGCAUUCUUAUAUUAAUUAAUUAUUCUUAGAGAUCACUGACAGAAAUUGAUUAUAAUAAAAAUGACCAAUUGGUGAAUUAUUUAAAUUUGGUUUUAAUAAUAUGGGUUACCACACUUGUUCCAAAAUUUCCAUUUCAGAAUGUCACCUAACAGAUAUUGACCACAAAGGAGAUAACUUAUUGAAGCAAGUGAUUUUUCUCAUUUUGUUAAAAAUGAUAAUUAUUCCAAUAUAUAACUGAAGUCUUAUUAAUAUUUAAUCAAGUAGCACUCUUACAGUAUUUAAGAAUUGUCAGGGGGCGCCUGGGUGGCGCAGUCGGUUAGGCGUCCGACUUCAGCCAGGUCACGAUCUCGCGGUCCGUGAGUUCGAGCCCCGCGUCGGGCUCUGGGCUGAUGGCUCAGAGCCUGGAGCCUGUUUCCGAUUCUGUGUCUCCCUCUCUCUCUGCCCCUCCCCCGUUCAUGCUCUGUCUCUCUCUGUCCCAAAAAUAAAUAAAAAAUCGUUAAAAAAAAAUUAAAAAAAAAAAGAAUUGUCAGAAUUCUGGGGCAUCUGGGUGGCUCAGGCGGUUAAGCAUUCUCAUGGUCUGUGAGUUUGAACCCUGCAUCAGGCUCUGUGCUGACAGCUCAGAGCCUGGAGCCUGCUUCAGACUCUGUCUCCCUCUCUCUGUGCUCCUUCCCCGCUCAUACAUACACUCUCUCUCCCUCUCUCUCUCUCUUUCAAAAAUAAACAAACAUUUUAAAACAUGAAGAAUGUCAGAAUUCCUCAUUUCACUUUACAUGUGGUUUGUUGAAUAAGAAAAUGUAUGACUAAUUCAUACAUUCUGAAUAUUUUUUUUCAUCCCCAGUUUUGAUUGCCAGCCGUUUUACCAAAUAACAUCUCUAUGAAACACUAUGAUUUCAAGUCACUGUUGGUCUUGACAAGUUCAAAAGGAGCAAAUAACAGAUUUCUUUUAGAACAAGAUUCAUGUAUCUGAGACAGGCCUGCCAAAUUUAAGACAAAUGAACUUGGGAAGGCUCUGUUCCUAAGGGUUAUUCACUUCACAGCCAGGUUUAUUUAACUGGAGACCACUUAUAGUAUGAAUGAGAAAAAUAAUAUAAACAUAACUUUUGUGGAAUCAUGGGAUAGUUCAUAUGCUCACACAUCUCAAAUAUGUAAAUUAAUCAUUCAAAAAAAAAACAAUUUCUGAAAAUGGACAUGACUAUAAAAAAAACCAUCAGUAGCUGUAUAAAAUCCAUCUUGCUUAUAUUAUACUAGUGUUUUAUAAACACCAGUAUAUGGAUAAAUAUUAAUUUUCUCCAAUUCCUUUACUCUGAAAUGUUAUAGAUGCUGGCAAAAUUCUUGAGUUGCCACAUAAACAUUUUUAAUACUCCCAGAGUCAGGAAAACCUCAAAACUCCAACAUGGAAAUGCUGACAUCAGGACAUAAGAUAACACAUUUUAAGAGCCUCCAAAUGAAUUGCUGCAUGAUAGGCUUCAUUCCAUUGUUUUAAAUGGGAUGAAAUAGUCUUCCUUUUAUUUUUUAUUUUUUUGUAUUCUUUUCAAUGAAGAAUGCUUAAGCUCCUAAGAAAGCCUGAGGUGCAUGAAAUAGAGGAUACGAAUGCAAAAAGAUUUUAAUUCUAAGUAGUAGCAUAUCAACCAAUGGCUAAUGUGUUUCAAUUCUUCAAUCUUUCAAUGCUCUUUGCACUGUGACUUUACAAUCCCCAUCAGAAGGUGCUGUGUCUGUUUUCCCAUUUCUUUAAUCUGGGCUGGUCUUUGGACUUGGUUCAGCUAAUAGAACAUGUUGGAAGGGAGCCAGUUCCUGGUCUAUAUGUUGCGGGACCUCCCCACUUCCCCACUCUCUCUUGGACUACUGCCAGCAUCUUGGGAAAAAGCCCCUGCCAGGCUGCUAGAGGAUGAGCUCAUGUAUACAGCAGGGCCCUAUUGUCCUAGCUAAGGCCAUACUAGACCCGCAUGUAGCCGGUGACUCCCAAACACGGUGAGAGGGCCCACCUGUCUCACCCACACCUGACCACAGAUGUGUAAGGGAAUCCUGUGAGACCAAAAGACCCACCUUGCUGGCUCAUACACCUUUGAGCAGUAAUACCUACUUACUAUUGUUUAGCUACUACUUUUGGGCUACCCUAACUCAUGUUGAGAAUGCAGUUUCUUAGAAGAUCUAAAUGUUUUUUGUUUUUGUUUUUAUUUUUGGUUUUUGUUUUAUUUACAGAAGCUGUUUUCAUGCUAGAUUUGCUCAAAUUCACAUUGGUUUUGUAGUUCUGAGGACAAUUCAUUGGCUUAAGGCUGUUUUCACAGAAACUCACGUGUGAUGUAAUUUUGUCCUGUAUCUUAGGCUACUAGAAGCCUGAUCAUGCCACUGGCAAAGAAGUAGCCAAAUAAUUUCAAAAGGUGAAGAAUCCAAAUCCCGUCCUUAAAAAAAAAAAAUUAAAAAUUAAAAAAAGAAAGUUUAGUAAAAUGAGUAUUAGUUUGUGGAUUUUUUUAAAUGUUCAUUUAUUUAUUUUGAGAGAGUGGGGGAGGGGCAGAACAAGAGGAGAGAGAGGAUCCCAAGCAGGAUCCACACUCGCAGCAUAGAGCCCGAUGUGGGGCUCAAACUCAUGAAACCAUAAGAUCAGGACCUGAGCCGAGAUCAAGAGUUGGAUGCUUAAUGGACUGAGCCAUACCAGUGCCUCUUAGUUUGUGGAUUUAAAGGCUGGUUCAGUUGAACUCACAGUAAUGAAAGCAGAAAUGAUGUCAAGAAGACAGAAUUAAGUCUGAAUAUAAUUUUUCUCUCAAAAUGUCAACAUGUAUAUUAAAAUGUAUACAAAAUUAUGACAGGUUGGGUAAACAGCAACAAAUACAUGUUGUAUAAAAUACAGAUAAUAUGAGGGAAUACAGAAAAGGCAAACUUUUAAGGGAUGAUCAAAUCCAGACCAAGAAAACAUUAAUAAAAAGUUCAAGGUGUGAUAUAAAUAUUAGAGAAGUUCAAAUUUAAAGAAGUCUGAAAGAGACAAAACUCAGAAGACAAAAAGUCUAAUCCACAGCAAUAAUUACCUAAGUAAUAAGAUAGCAGAAAAUGUUAAACAAUAAAUAUCAUAACAAAAAAAAGUGAACCAUGAACUGUAAGAAAUGCUAGGAAACAAAAUAGAUCAUAGAUAUGUAAUAAUAUGAAGUUCUGAACAAAAUAAUUGAAGCUAAAGUAAUAAAAUAUAGUAAAAAGCUAUAUCCUAAUAACAAGUAACAUACUUUAUUUCAAUCAGUCAUAUUUACAAAAAAAUUUUGUAUGAAUUAGAAUGAAAAGUAGAAAUAAUAUUAGACUAUGCUCAGGAUGUGCGCGCGCGCGCGCACACACACACACACACACACACACACAAAAUAAAACUAAUAAUAACCAAAAUUAAAGAGAAAAGCUGCAACUACCUACAAUCUUAAAAUUUUUCUUUAGGAAAACAUCUGGGAGCAAAGAAGUAAUCAAUUGAAAUUGCAGAGUAUUUCCAAGGUUAUUAUAAUUGAAACACUGAACACUGAAACUUAAAAGCUGAGAAAAAUACAUAGCCUUACAUAACUAUGUAACUAACAAGAAAGAAUAAAAACAAAAGAAUCAACUAUGGAAGGUCCAAAGUUAGAAAGAUUAACAACAUAAACUUAAGGAAAAAAAUAACAAAGAUACAAAGAAACUUAAUGAACUAGAAAACAGAAAAAAGGUGGAUACAUAAAUUGAAAAGCAAGAGGGGCAAAAUAGUAAUACAACAGCUAACUUACUGCUGAACCUAAUUAACAAAGGAGAAAAUACAAUACUGACAUUUUAAAAUAGAGAAUCAAAAACACAGCGGUGCUUCAAACUACCCAAAAUAUUUUGCAAACUGCAUUAAACUAAAAAAAAUUUUCAUUUCAUCCCCUUUUGAGUCAUGACCAUAUACUAUUGUGUUUUUGCUUUCUAAUGUGAGAGAAUGCAUGCACGUGCCACUGGAGGAGAGGGGCAAUGGGGAGAGCAAGAGUAAAAAUCUUAAGCAGGCUACACACUCAGUGUGGAGCCCAAUGCCAGGCUCAAUCCCAUGACAGUGGGAUCAUGACCUGAGCUGAAAUCAAGAGUCAGAUGUUCAGCCAACUGAGCCACCCAUGCCCCUAUACUAUUGUUUUUAAUCUUCCGGGUUCCAUGGGUAGGGUGCACAGGUUGGAGGUCAAGAAGUCAGGUGUGAUAGGGGUUUUGGGGGAAUGGAGAUUGGAGGAAAAGGACCCAGAGACCAGAUUUUGGGCAAGGAUCAUCUGGAAGCAGGAAUGGGCUGAAGGAGGUGGUGGCUAGCUAGGUGUCAGCAGCCAAGCCAAGGCAGGGAAGGAGAGAGCCCAUAACAGAGAACGUGCAUGAAAAUGGGUCUAUCCAGCAAAGGGGCCUGCAGCAGGGUUAUUUUUGCCGCCUCAUCUUUCGGUAUACUUCCCCAAGUACCCCAUUGGCCAUCUCUCAGAAUCUUUCAUAGUUUUUUUUUUUUUUAAUUUAUUUUCUUUAUGUUUAUUUAUUUAUUUUGAGAGAGAGAGAGUGCACGUGUGCACAUAAGCAGCAGAGGGGCAGAGAGGAGAGACAGAAUCCUAAGCAGGCUCCACACCAUCAGCACAGAGCCUGAUGCAGGGCUCCAGCUCACAAACCCGGAGAUCAUGACCUGAGCUGAGAUCAAGAGUCAGACACUUAACUGACUGAGCCACCCAGGUGCCCCUCUCUCAUAGUUCUAAAAUGCACUACGUGUGUUUGUUUUCCAAUAUUUACUUAGACUUAUUUUGUAACAAAUAUCUGAAUGAGAUCUAUUUAACGUAAUUUUUAACAUGACUUGAUUUGGUACUCCUGGUUUUGGAAAUGCAUAUUACACGAAAAGGAGGGUCUAAACCUCUUUGUUCCCUCAGCAGGAAAUUAGAAGGGGCAGGUUCCUCUGAAAGAAGCAAUGUUUUGUUUCUUCCUUUGAAAGUGCAUUUUAACCAAGCCGAAUAGAUGCUAAGCAUCUGGUCAGUUAACUUGACUCUGAAGAGCAAUACACAAUUUGUAUCUUAUUUCCAGUUUCCCACAAUGAGUGUUAAUUCCUCCCGGCUUUUGCUUUUGCUAUUUUUCAUGAGCAGGACAUUUACUGAUUUCCUCUCUACUUGGUAAACUCCAAACCAGGUUCAAACUAAAAAACAAAGUUUUACAUUUAAACUAAAACACCUCCAUUUUAGUGAAAGUUUUCCUGGUAACCCCAGGCAAAAUAAACCCCUACCUCUGUGAGUUCAUAUUGUUUUGUUCUUAAGCAUGGCACUGAUUUUGUAUUGUAUUUACAGUCCUGUGUCUUACUAAGCCACAAGCUCUUCAAAGGUCCAGUGAAAGAACCUGCAGCCCCUCAAAUGUUAUAGAUUUUAACAUUAAGAUAAAUGCAUUUGAAAUUAAAUACUUAAAUUUUUUAUUUUUUUAAAUAUUUUUUAAAAAUAUUUAUUUAUUUUUAAGAGAGAGAGACAGAGUGUGAGCAGGGGAGGGGCAGAGAGAGAGGGAGACAGAGAAUCCAAAGCAGGCUCCAGGCUCUGAGCUGUCAGCACAGAGCCCAAUACGGGGCUCAAACCCACAAACCAUGAGAUCACAACCUGAGACAAAGUCGGAUGCUUAACUGACUGAACCACCCAGGCACCCCAAAUACUUAAGUAUAUGUACAUGUUCAAUUUUUCAUUGCAGUAAUGGUAAUGGUACCUGGCUUUGCUAGAUCUACUCCAAAUUUUAGUCAAUUAAAAGAGUUUUAAUGUUUCAAGGUGAUUAUCUUUCCAGAGGGAAUAAUUAUUCUCUAUUAUGAUUAUUAAUUAGAUUUUCCAAUUGGGUUUGAUUGAAGAGAGCCACAUUUUUAAAUAUGCCAGUUCACUCCUCAUUUUAUCUAGCACAUGAAUACAUAAGACUAUAUUUGGAUUCCAAAUAAGUAAUGAGAAAAGAGAAGCAUUCAGUGUUUGAAAAGAAUGAAUUACACCACCCCAAGGUGAUCUGUUUGUCUGCCAUGAUAACUAAUGCAGCUUUCCCUGAUAACCAAGAGGAAUAGGAAAUACCUUACAAAUACACCAUAUUUAAAAUAACCUAUAUUUUAAUAACCUACUCCGACAUGGAUUUUUAUUUUCUUGGAGAGCUAAUCAAUGAUUUUGCCCCCAAAUUGUGUCACAUGUUUGUUCAUUUAAUUUUUCAAUCAAUAGUCAUGCAUUAGAUACCUGUCACUUUAGCAGGCACUAUAUGCUAAAGACACAUAAAUAGCACAGGCAAAUGUUUUAAAAAGUAAAAUUAUGUUAUGCAUUCAUCACUGCCUUGAUCCCCAAGAAAAUGUAUAGCUUAUCCUUGAAGAAAAAAAUGCAAUUACAUUAUAUACUUGAAAUCGGUAUAAUGUUAUUUGUCAAUUAUAUUUCAAUUAAAAAAAGAGAGAGAAAGAAAAAUCCGCAGGUGCUCUGUAUAGGGUGUGGCUCUUAGCUUUCCCAACAGCUAAUAAUGUUUUAUUUUUUCAUUUUUUUUUUAACUUUGGGACAGUGAGACACAAUUUGCCUCAUAAUCAUAGCAAAUAUGGAAACAAUGCCAGCAAGCAUUUCCUAAGGAUGAGCAUGCAUGUUUUGUUGAACUCAUUGAUUCCAGUUGGGUAAGAGUGUUUCUUCAUGGUGAAAGAAAUAGGCUCUCCCAUUAGGGCCGAUGUCACAGAGCGGGUAGGGACAGGUCUCAGGCUCACAGUUAACAAGGCCUCAUACUUAGAUUCUGUGAUCCCCACCGGAGUUUACAUGUACAGUCACAAAAGGAAGCUAAAGGGUUAAAAGAUAAUACCCCAUGAUUUCUUGAAAGUAAAUAUUGAAAAUACACCCCAAUGUUUAACCCAAUUUCAUCAUUUAUUCAUUUCUGUUUUUUCCAGCAUGCUAGAUACCUUAAAAGGUAAAAAUGACACGAGGAUAAAAGGGAAUAUGGCAGUGGUACUGUAUUAGCAUUGUAUAGCGACAGGUGGUCACUAUACUUGCGAACAUAAUAUAACAUAUAGACUUGUUGAAUCACUAUGUUGUACACCUGAAAUUGCUGUAUGUUGUGUGUCAACUACACUUCAAUUUUUUAGAAAAAGUUUUCAUCAAAAAAAAAAAGUGAAAAUGUCCUAGAACUCUUUCAAUCUCCAAGAGACCCUACUUUUCAAUAAAAAUUAAGGUUUUGGCUAAAUUAUUUGAACCAUGAUUCUGGCUCAGCAUUCUCAUUGCCUCAUUCUCCUCAGUUCCUAAUCCCUUCUUAAAAAUCAAAGCUCUGGGAAAAACAAGCCAAUACAUAGAGCUCUCAAAUGUAUCCCUCAAUAGAGUGUCAUAAAAUACUUUAAUAUAGUAUUUACUUAAAAUUUAUGCCCCUUGAGUCACAGAAAACACAUUCUCAUAUCCUUUCUCUUAUUUUUAUUUAUUUAUUUUUUUUUCCUUUCUAAAUGCCAUUAAGAUGAAAUGAGAGGGACGCCUGGGUGGUUCAGUCGGUUGAGCGCCCAUCUUAGGCUUGGGUCAUGAUCUCACAGUUCAUGGGUUCGAGCCCCGCAUUGGGCUCUGUGCUUACAGCUCAGAGCCUGGAGCCUGCUUCCGAUUCUGUGUCUCCCUCUCUCUGUGCCCCUCCUCUGCUCACAUUCUGUCUUUCUCUCUCUCUCUCAAAAAUAAACAUUAAAAAAUUUAAAAAAAAGAUGAAAUGAGAAUAUGGGGUAGAAUUCCAGGCCUUUCCUUGUUCCCAAUUCCAGAGGUGCCAUAUAUAAAUACCCCCUUCCAAAUUUACCCCUUAUAUCUUUUCACAAGUGUAAUUACAAGGAGAAAUUUUUUUAUUUUAUUCUCAAAGGGAGAUUGAAACUCUAGAAGAGUUAUAACUACAAACAUGUAAGAGUAUGUUUUUAAGUAAAUGAAUUUCAUUGGUUCUCUCCUUAUAUUUCUUAAAAUUUGAAAAUACUAAAAAAAGGUCUACCAUAUUCUGACAUUAAAAAUAAAAUUCUAUGAAAGGAAGAAGUCAAAAAGCUGUUCUCAUAUCCCCUGCCCUUAAGGCAAAUAUCAAGAGCUUGAUAUUUGUUCUUCCCAACUUUCCUUUAUGCUUAUUCUGAAAUAUGUAUGUACUUACAAAAUAUCAGGCUACACAUAUCAGAUUAAACUUGACUGUUCCAUUUAAAAAUGUCUGCCUCCUAGGUCAUUAUGUGUAUACCUAUUUACGAUUGCUGAAUAUUAGCAACUUUUUUAAUAUUGGCAAAUUUUUUGCCAGCUUGGUAGGUGGAGAAUUUUACUUGGCAUUUUGAAAAAUUACCUAUGAGUUUAAUGUUGCUUAUAUUUCAAAAUAUCUUAAUCUACUAAUAUAAAACAUACUCAGAAUUCAGAUAUUUCUCAGAAACCCUACAGCGGAGAAUUGCUAAGAAGUUUUUCUUGAGCAACUGUUGAUUUUUUUCUAUUUUUAAUUUAUUUGGAUUGCACACAGAUUAUGAAAUUUAUAAGCCUAUCUUCUCGAUCUAACUGUGCAUAUUUUUUUUUUUUGCUGAGAGGAAGAUAUUCAAAAGAAAAACCAUAAUUAUUAUUAAAUUAUACAUUUAUUUUGAUAUUAUAACAAUCAAACAGUAGAUAAAUUAAAAAGUCCUCAUCCUUCCCGCAUACCACUUCCCAGAGGCAGUUGCUGUGAACAGCUUGGUGUUUAUUCUUUUUUUUAAUUUUUUAAAAAUGUUUUUAAAAAAUGUUUUAUUUAUUUUUGAGACAGAGAGAGACAGAGCAUGAACAGGGGAGGGGCAGAGAGAGAGGGAGACACAGAAUCCGAAGCAGGCUCCAGGCUCUGAGCUGUCAGCACAGAGCCCGACAUGGGGCUCAAAUCCAUGAACCGUGAGAUCAUGACCUGAGCUGAAGUCAGGACGCUUAACCGACUGAGCCACCCAUGCGCCCCUUGGUGUUUAUUCUUAUGAGCAUUUUCUAUGCAUAGACCUAUAUUUAUAGCUCAUUUAAACUGUGUCUGUAAGCUCCAUUGGUAUCUGACUCUAAUUACAUAUAUCUCAGACACCAGCUUAUUUCUUCCUCUUUAACAGCUAUAUAACAUUUCACUGUAUAAACAUGCUGCAAUUUUUAAAUCAUUUAUUUGUGUUGAUAGAAAUUUAGGUAAUUCCAGCUUUCAUGUUUAUAUAAGAUAUUUCUUUGCAAACAUAUAGGAAUAGAUCUUUACAGUAAAUCUGUAAAGUGGAACUUUUUGGUCAAAAUGUGUACACCCACUGAAAAGUUAGUAGAUGUGUCCUCCAAAAAGUUUAUAUCAAUUCAUAUCCUUACCAGCGUACAUCAGGCUGGUUUCCCCUUUCCAAACCCUAACGUAAUGAUGUCAUUCAUUACUCAAUCUGAGGGUAGAAAAGAAAUUCUAUCUUAAAAAAAAACACACAGAUUAAAAAUUCUAAAUAUGGUUCAUCAUCAUUGAAUAUACUACUGGACAUUUAUCAUUUGAACAAUGUUCUUUCAUUUCCCAAGAGAUAUACUCAGUAUGUGACCAUUAAAAUGGCUCUAAGUUUCUAAAACCUAAAAGUUUUCUCUGUGGAGCAGUACACAAAUGAUCAGAGGCAUGGAAAAUGGACCAUACUAACUAAAGAUCCUUUAAACCUGUAACCCAGCUUGUUUUAGAAGAAGCAAAACGUAUUUUUACUAGAAAUUAAUAUUUCAAAAUAUAUCAAUAUAUAUUCUAAAACCCAAGUACCAUGGUCAUCAGGUGUCCUGAAGAGUCCAAUGUGUCAGAUAUAGCUAAUUAAGGCCAAAAUUAGCUCUCUUAAACCUUGAAAUUUUAUAGCUAUUGAAAACAGACAAGGGCUUUUCAAACCUUAAAGUGCUAAUGCAUCAACUGACAUCUUGUUCAAAUGCAGAUUUUGAAUUCUAGGGUGGGGCCCGGGAUUUUGCAUUUCUGUGCCACUGCUGCUGGUCUGAAGACCACACUACUGAGUCAGAAGGCUUUAGACCUCAACGAGUUUAGCUCAUUUUAUAAACAGAAAAAAUGGUUAAUAUACCCUGAUACCCACUUUUUUUAACUUAAAAAAACACACAGAAUUUCCUUAAGUGUUUUAAGCUAACGAACAUCCUAUUUGUGUGACAUAAAUAAUAUGUGAACAGACUUAUGAAUAAUACAACAUCUGUAGCUCUUAGAAAAGAAAACAGUUAAUUAGGGAUCACAUGAAUUAUGUAAUAAUUUUUAACGUUUAAUGUUUUGUUCUUUCUAGGUCAUUCAAGCUGCUAUCUACACAUGAAUAACAAAGAAAUGCUCAUAAACAAGCAGAAAUACCCAGGAGGCAUGAAGAGUUAUAAUACUUCAAAAAUGUGUGUCUUGUGACAGCACAGCCACAGAAACGGUAGAUUUUAGAACUCUAAAAAGUCAACCUUGAAGAGAUAAAAAUGCUAUCCGACAACACAGUACUGAAACUUAACGAAAUGCCUCUGGAGCUUGAAAUACCUAGAGCUGCCAAAAUAUUCAAGAAUGAAAUUGAAAAAUGUUUCUUCAAAACGCCUUAGCUAACCAAACGUGAGCAUAUUUGCCAUCAUGGCAAAAGUGACUACUGCUUUUGCUGGUCUCAGCCUGGGCCAGGUGGGGCAUCCUUCACUGACUGACUGAAGACAGUGUGAAGGCCAUGCUUCCUUCUACUCUGACCAGAUGUGAUUUGUCUCUCCACCAUAACAUCCUGUCAAUAACCGUACUUGCCACACAUCACAUUCUCUGUUUUACGUGCUUCAGUUACUUGUAGUUUUUCCUAUUUCAUCCUUAGAUUAUUCUCUUUAAGUUUA